RNAcentral lists this long non-coding RNA (1503 nucleotides) under Equus asinus (donkey). Its description in RNAcentral is "lncRNA (ENSEASG00005032691.1)". The record is from RNAcentral. Lineage: Eukaryota; Metazoa; Chordata; Mammalia; Perissodactyla; Equidae.
UUUUCUAUUUUCCAGCUUAUUCGCUUUAUUUUUUAUUCUUUUUUAACGUUUAGAAAAGGUGCAGGUGGCCAGUGUUCAAUACAGCUGCAGGGAAUGUUGGUGAUAGCAGCUGUCAUCUGUAUUUCCCAAAUGGGCUUUGAAGAAACACUGACUUUGGGGUAUCUGGAAAAAAAAAAAGAUUCUGUGUUUAAAUAAGUUGGGGAAACGUUACUUAGCUUCCUACUUUGGUCCUCCAAGAUUCUCUAGAUCAAGGUACAUUAGCUUAUUAAAGAUACUGAGAAGAGCUGGGGUCAAAACAAACACAAAAACCACUUUAACUUCAUUAAAACAAUUUUUUUCCAAGUUGAUUUGAUUAUGGAACAGUCCCUCCCCCAUAUUUUUUGUGAUAUCCAUUAAAGUUCCACAAAAUUCAUGUUCUUUGGAAAACACCUUGGGAACUACUAAUUGAACCCAAUUUCUGAAUUUUACUGCUGAAAAAACAGAGGUCCUGGGAGGGGCUGAAGUUCUUACAGGUGGUUAGGGGGGAAGCUAGGACUAGAACCCCACUUCCUGACUGCCUGGUCCAAGCUGAUCAACCACACCUAACGAAAAAGGCAUUUCCUAAGGUGUGGCCUAGGAUGCCAGGCAUCAUGGGUAGUUCUUGAGGUGAUGCUUAAAAAGGAUGUGAACAUGUUACUCCAUGAUGGGUUCUUUUGGGGUAAGUUGCUAAAAGAUAGAGAUUAUUUUAGAUGCUUUUAAAAAUGGGUAAUCAUAUCCUACUCUUUUGUUAUCUCAUAGAUCUUGAGGUGCUUAUCCAUUGCAACCUGGGUAUGCCAUAGGUGCUUAAUAAAUAUAUUAAAUGAAUGAGUAAAUGAAAGAAUCUAGCAGGAGUCAGAGGAGGUUGGUGGCAGGAAGGAAGGAGGAAAGGGUCAGGAACUGGAAGAGAGAGAAAAGGCAAAAUGUGGAGAAAGAGAGGGAUGAAUGAAAAAUAGGAGCCAGCAGUUACUCAUCAGUGGAGGAUAGUUAAGCCCUGGCAGAGAAAGGAAAGGAGACAGCUGCAGGUGACAGGAAAAAAACCACCAAAACACAAAAAAACCAAAAAACACCACACUGGGUGACCAGGAAGCUUUGCUUUUAAAAAGUAAAAGUGGGAGCCAGUCGGUGGUGCAGUGGUUAAGUUUGCACGUUCUGCUUCGGCGGCCCAGGGUUUCCCAGUUGGGAUCCUGGGUGCAGACAUGGCACUGCUUGGCAACCCAUGCUGUGGCAGGCGUCCCACAUAUAAAGUAGAGGAAGAUGGGCACAGAUGUUAGCUCAGAGCCAGUCUUCCUCAGCAAAAAGAGGAGAUUGGCGGCAGAUGUUAGCUCAGGGCUAAUCUUCCUCAAAAAAAACCAAAAAAAGUAAAAGUGACUCAUGAGGCUAAUUCAGAUGCUGGCCAUGCCAGGAGGUCCCAGCCCAGGAAAUGGAGAUGAGCAUCAACUGCUGAGGACCUUUGUGAACUCAGAACAAAGUGUAUUUAUUGCACAG